UCAAUGUACGGGUUUGAACUUCCUGAGCAGAGGCGGAGCCAUCCUAGUAACAGGGGUUCAUCUGAACUCCCUUUGAUGAAAAACUAUACUAUUGAUGCAUACAUAAUUAAAAUGAUUUUUAUUUAUAUAUUGUAGAUGUUGAAUAAUCCCCUUCGGUGGGUUUUUCUUCAGAUUUUGAACCCCCUCAGUAAAAAUUUCGACUUUGUCUCUGUAAUUUUAAACACCCACGACUUCAAAAUUCUGAGUCCGCCGCUAUUUUCACAGACAAUUGCAAAGUGGUGGUUGUGAAGAAGAUUCCAAGUGUAGGAAGGAAUCUUUGAGACUAGCAAGAAUUUCAAAAUGGAAACAUUAUUGUUUUUGCCUAGAAAGGAAAGUACUUUAAAAUUAGGAGAAAAUAUGUGAAGAUCGAAACAAAUAAAAUAACCAAGACCAAUUCACAUCGAUUGAGAUUUCGGAUCAGGACAGAAAGAUAGUAGGAAUGAGUGCGUCGCAUCCUGCUGCUCGCUCAUGGUGUUUCACGAUCAAUGAAAAUGAACGGAGAAAUGGUGGAACACGCAGAACCACAUAUUAGAUUUACUCCAGUGCACCACAGUGCAUUAUAUACCCACCACUAAUAUAUCGCAGGAUUCAUCAUAGCAGGAGCUUAUGCUCAUGGAGCUAUAUUUUUCAUAAGAGAUUACAAUCCAGAGCAAAAUGAAGAGAAUGUGUUGGCAUGAAGUACUAAUAGGUAGGAGGACUUUGUUAUCCGUGUUAGUAGCUAUAGUAUACUAGUUUUAUUUCAGAUUAUUAUAUUGUUUGUUGUAUUACUUGGUGAGUCUUGUUUAUAAUAUUUUUGGAUGUGGUAAUUUCUAUCACAUCUUGUCCUUUUAUAAUUACUAUUCCUUUUCUAGAUCAUUUUAUCUUGAGUCGUGGUCUAUUGGAAACAAUAUUUCUAUCUCACGUAUGAGGUAGUGAUAUAUGUUGAGAUUUACCUUCCUUCUAUUUUAUGAUUUUCAUUAAUGGUAGAAUUUUUUUAUUUUUUAUUUUUAGUUUAAGAAUAUUUUACAGUAUUUACUUCCUUUUAAGUUUAGGGUUUAUUAAUUGCAGAAUAUUUAGUCUAAUAGAUAUAAGAAAAAUAUCAUAUUUUCCUUAUUUAUUUUAUUUAGUUUCUUAUAAAUCGAAAUGCACUCUUCUAUUUGAAUCAAUGAAAAGAAUCAAUAUCAAGAGUUAUCAUUCAGUUUCUGUUUAAUUUUUUUUCUUAUCUUUUUUAUUCCGUAAUAAUAUAGACUGCGUACAGUUAUUUCAUCCAAACCCCAUCUGAUGAAAAUAUACUAAAAAUGUUAUUGUUAUUAUUGUGAAGCUAUUGUAAGAUAAAAUUUAUUGUGUUAGAUUAUAAUCAUUAUAUUUCACACUUUACUUAAAAUUUAUUGUGUUAGAUUAUAAUCAUUAUAUUUCACACUUUACUUUGUUGGGUACCUAAAGAACUUACAAUAAAAUUUAUUGUGUUAGAUUAUAAUCAUUAUACUUCACAGUUUACUUAAAAUUUAUUUUGUUAGAUUAUAAUCAUUAUAUUUCACACUUUACUUUGUUGGGUACCUAAAGAACCUAAUUAACCACCAGGGUUGGUGUGGUGGUUCAGCACCUCACCUCUUAAGCAAGAAGUCGGAGGUUUGAUCCCCAUCUUUGGUGAAUGGAAAAAAAUCUGUGGUCAGUUUCCUACCGCUUAAUGCGCUGACAAUAGAAACGGAGAAUUAGUCUCACGGCUGCCGGCUGUGGGGAUACCUUGGGCAAUCAAAAACAAAAAACUAAAGAACCUAAUUAUUCAAGGUGGCAGAUAAAAUAUUACACGUUAAUAGUAUCUUUAGUAGGGGUGGGCAUUCGGUAUUCGGUUUGGUAGUUUCAUAAUUCAGGUUCGGUAACUCGAUAAUCGAUAAUUGAAAAUAGAUACCAAAUACCAUACCAUUAAACUUCGAUUCAGUAAUUCAGUAAUCGGUAAAUUAAAUUUUGGUUCGGUACGGAAUUCGGUAUUACCAUAUUAAAGUUGGACAUGCUUGUAGUGAUCCUAUUUGUUGAUAAUGGUGGUGAUUUCCAACCAAUAUUUUGACACCUCUAAAUACACAGUUUUACACCAGAAAAAUUUAAUUUUUUUGGGUCUUGUUACAUGUUGAUACGUGUGACUCAAUUAAUGAAACAUCUUAAAACCUAUGUUAUUGUAGUUUGAUCUAGCUCCAAGAAGGGGAGAACUGGAUGCAGCACGAACUGGAUGUAAAUGUGAUGUAAAGUCAUAAUAUUACUUUUUAUUAAUGUGAUGGAGAGUAAUAUAUGUUAUGUUGUCUGUCAAAUGUUGAGUUUUGCUUCUAUCCGCUGUUGACAUGUAAACACAAGGAUUAAGAAAGUUUGAUCAAGUUUCCUUGCUUAAAUCCAUAUUCC
Molecule: long non-coding RNA, 2409 nt
Filed under: Capsicum annuum
Lineage: Eukaryota; Viridiplantae; Streptophyta; Magnoliopsida; Solanales; Solanaceae
Description: long non-coding RNA (CANN_LNC019998)
Source: RNAcentral